This 255-nucleotide ribosomal RNA is filed under the name uncultured bacterium. RNAcentral describes it as "partial 16S ribosomal RNA". It matches the Rfam family "Bacterial small subunit ribosomal RNA", at positions 524 to 776 of the family's 1533-position model. The record is from RNAcentral.
UACGUAGGGUGCAAGCGUUGUCCGGAAUUAUUGGGCGUAAAGAGCUCGUAGGCGGUUCGUCGCGUCGGCUGUGAAAACCUGAGGCUCAACCUCAGGCCUGCAGUCGAUACGGGCGGACUUGAGUACUGCAGGGGAGACUGGAAUUCCUGGUGUAGCGGUGAAAUGCGCAGAUAUCAGGAGGAACACCGGUGGCGAAGGCGGGUCUCUGGGCAGUAACUGACGCUGGAGGCGACGAAAGCGUGGGGAGCAAACAGG